Molecule: long non-coding RNA, 5296 nt
Filed under: Homo sapiens (human)
Lineage: Eukaryota; Metazoa; Chordata; Mammalia; Primates; Hominidae
Description: HSALNT0180582
Source: RNAcentral
UGUGAGGGAGAUGGGAAGAGGCAGAGUAUUUUGUCUAAUUUCAAGUUCAAGAAAGCAAAGAACACAAAAGUUAAGUGGCUGGUGUCCAUUUACUCAAGUAAAUGUAUUCAGGAGUUGAGCCAGAAAUAAAGAUCAAGUCUUCUGGCCCAUGCACUAGGCCCCAUGCUGCCUCACAGCUUUCAAAACCUUCAUUUUCUUGGGAAAUGCUAAAAAGCUUUCCCCUACCAUACAUACUAGAUUCAGACACACUGCCAUCUACUGACCCACCAAAGGAUGUGCCAGCACAAGACAUCCUGACCUUCAAGGGAGGGAGGAACACCUUGAGAGGAGUUGAGAUCCUGCUUUCUCUUCAGAAUGCCAUCUCUAGGAUGCCAAUGGGCUGUGUCUACAGUACUAUGUAGGAAAGUGCUGCAAGAGUGACUCUGGAAGGUUGUGCUGAGAACUCUGAAGGCUUGCUGUGACUUUUUGGAAAUCAUAAACACCUCUAAAACACAUGUAUACUGGUGGUGUUAGUCAACUUAUAUCACUGUCUGUGAAGACGAUGCAGCAAAUUCAAUGAAAGUUGUAUACAUCAUGGAAAAGUUUGAAUUGCAUGAAGAAAAGAAGCUGACGGAAGUUCUUUCUGUCACCUCUCUGAAGACCUGGUUCAUAUCUGCAGCUGCAACUCUAUCCCUGAACUCAUCUUUGAAACUACCCAGAGAUAGACUGUCAAGAGCUUCAGAGCUUUACAACAGGAUCUUCCAAGUGCCCUGAGAGGUCAUGAUGGAGCCAAUAGAAAUAAAUCAUACAAAACAAAGCCAGAACCUGGUGGGAGGGAUGCUUACAAAACAACAUAAACGAGAAGUUGUCUGAAAAAAAAUUGUAUGGAAGGAAGAAGAGAUGAGAUAAGGGAAAUGAACUCAUAAUAGCCCCAGUUAAAAUACUUACAGUAAAAUAUCAUUAGUACUACUUGAUGUUGGUGAAAGGCUCUAGACUCAAGUCAGAAGGCCCAAUUUGUUGCUGUGAUUUCUUGAACAAAUUAUGUAAUUGUGUUGAGAUUCAGUUUUCUUUUCUAUCAUUGGGUAUUAAUAACUUCUAUGUGAUGUCAGAGUUAUGAUGUGAAGUUAAAAUAACUAAUAAAUGGGUAAACCCUGAAAAUUUGAUAGAAUUUUGUGAAUGAGAGAAUCUUACAAAUACAGUACCUGAAACCAAAAGAAUUAAGUCUCAGCUUGAGGAAUAUCAGAUACUAGGGCAGGCUAAUGGGAUAAAGGUCUCAUUGAUCUGCCACCUUCAGUCACACUGAAAUGGGGCUAUAUUUUUUUUAUUUACUUACCUACCAGUACUGCCAAUAGUCAAAAUAGUACUACUUUCCAAGUUAUUUAACUUUUUUAGUAUAACAGAAAAAAAAAUCAUUUCUAGUUUUCAAGGCAUGGAUUCAAUGAGUAAUAUAGAUUUAUAUCACUUGGUGAAGACAUGGCAAUUUCCCUGAUACCACUGAAAAAUAAAUUUAAAAAUGCUAUUUGAUACCUUCUUUAAAAGCUUUUUUUGUUUGUUUCUUUGCUGAAAUGGCAAGGAUUGAAGAUAAUUGGAUUUACAAAACAACAUAGCAAGAGCUCCCAAUUUCAGUAUUGUGACAGGUCCAUUGAUAAAACCUGCUCAGGCAGAGACCAAGUUGGAAGGAAGGAUAGGUUAUUAUUUUAGUUCUCCUGAGGUAAAAUAAAUAUUCUUAAAAACGUGCAUCCAUCCAUCCUCUUUUAAGUAGAGAGGUCAUCAGUCUCUUUCCUUAUUAAAAUGAGCACAAACUGAACAUGCAUAGAUUGAUUCUCUCUAUUCAGUUGCAGUUUGAAACUUAGCCUGCUACACAUUUUAACAGAAUUUUCUACACAUUUUAACAGACACACACUUUCUACACAUUUUUAACAGAAGCAUUUUAACAGACAUUUCUCAAUGUGGCUCUCUGACUUUAUGACAUCAGAGGAAGCAGUCUUCAACCUGGUAAAAAACGUAAAGAAAAUGCAAUGUCUACUUAUAAACUUAACAAGAAUAUCAAUGACAACUAUUUUACCAAUGAAUUUAAAGAUUUGGAGAUUUCACAUAAUAGCCAGUAGCUCUUUGACAUAAAUAUAAAGCUAUAUAAUCCACAAUUCCAUUCUUUGCUUAUUUUAUGUUUUUCUGAAGUAGUUAUUGAGCACCUAUUGUGUGUAAAGAGCUGGAAUGGACAUAAGAAUACAGAAUGGCAAUAGGUUCAAAGAAUGCCAAGUACAGGAAGAGGAAAGAUGCUGAGUUCUUGUCUGGAUUUGACUUUAAUUAGUUUUAUGACCUUGGUUAAGUCACUUCUCCCAUGUAAAUCAUUGAACACUUUUUUAUUGAGGGCUUCCCAUAGGUAGAAACAAGAAUGACUGAGGAACAAAUAAACCCGGCCUCAGCCUUUGUGGAACUGACAUGGUAGUGGGUAAGAUAAAUAUUAAAGAAUUAAACACAUAAACAAAUAUAAGUAAAGAUUAUAUAAAGUGUAACCAAAAGUAAAUAAUGUUAAAGAAUUUUUAAACAUUGAGCUUCUGAUUCAAUCGGCCAGUCAUGGAAUACUUAUCCGAGGAAGCAAAAUUUAGACUGAUACUUGAAGGAAGAAAGAUUGCUGGGUGUAAAUAACAAACGUGGAAGCGUAACAGAUCUGAGGAAGUUCAGGCCAGUGUGGUUGAAACGCAGAGACCAAACGGAAGAAGGCAAAGGAUGAGACUUACUAACCAGACACUGCCCAAAUCCUGCAAGGCCUUACAGACAUGGUAAGAAGUUUUGAAUACAUCCUAAGUCAAAUGAAAAAUCACCAACAGAUAUUAAACAGCUGCAUGACAUGAUCAGAUUUGCAUUUUUAAAGAUUACUCCGGCUGUGGUGUAAAUAGUGGAUUGAGAGUAAGAUGCAGCCAUUCGAAGUGGCAGACUAGUUACACACACUGAAAUGUAAUAAUGCUGCAAAAAACAUAAUACUGAAUGAAAAAGGAAAAGACAGAAUGUGUUCCAAAGCACAAUACCUUUAUAUAAUGAUAGCUUGAUGAAAACACAUACAAAUAAAAGAUUAUAUAUUAAACCUCUUAAAAUGGUUGCUCUUGAAAGGCUAAAUAGGGAUAGCAAUGGGGGUAAAAAAAAAUAACUCAAUAAAACAAGAGAGGGCUAAUAAAUGGACCAGCAACAAUAGUAGGUUAUACGCUAAUGAGCAUGAUAAAUUCUUAAGGGCCCUAGUAUUUUUAGAAUGGUAAAUGAGCAUGGCUUCAACUUAAUGUCACCAGGUGCUUAGCCUGUAAAAAGAGAGUCAGGCUAUCUUUAGAAGUUUUGAAGCCAGACAUUGGCUUCUCCUCUCUAGCUAUGAAAUUCCUAGACUGCAUCUGCUUCCAAGAGAAGGCUGUUUCAUCUACAUUGAAAAUCUGUUCUUGGAUGUAGUCACCUUCAUCAAUUAUCUUAGAUAAUCUUCUGGAUAAUUUGCUGCAGCUUCUACAUCAGCACUGGUCACUUUACCUUGUCCUUUAAGGUUAUGGAAAUGGAUUUUUUUUUUUCCUAAAACCUCAUAAACCAACCUCAGCUAGAUUCACACAUUUCUUCUGCAGUUUUCCCACCACUCUUAGCCUUCACGGAAUUGAAGAGAGUUAGGGCCUUGCUCUGGAUUAGGUUUUGGUUUAAGGGAAUGUGUUGGCUGUUUUAAUCUUCUAUCCAAACCACUAAAAGUGUUUCUGUAUCAACAAUAAGGCUGUUUCCCCCUUUUAAUCAUCAUGUGUUCACUGGAGUACCACUUUUAAUUUCAUUCAAGAGCUUUUCCUUUGCAUUUACAACUUGACUAACUGGCACAAAAUUCUAGCUUUCAGGCUGUCUCAGGUUUCAACAUAACUUCCUUGUUAAGCUUAAUCAUUUCUAGCUUUUGAUUAAAGUGGGAGACGUGCAACUUUUCCUUUCACUUGAACACUUAGUGGCCAUUAUAGGGUUGUUACUUAAACUAAUUUCAAUACUGUUGUGUCUUGGACAAUAGGAAGGCCUGAGAAGAGGGAGUGGGAUGUGGGAAUAGCCAGUCAGUGGAGAAGUCAGAACAGAUACAACAUUUAUCAAUUAAGCUUAUCAUCUUAUAAGGGCACAAUCUGUGGUGCCCCAAAACAAUUAUAAUAGUAAUGAGAGGUGACAACGUGCUAGCAGCCCUUGCUCACUCUCAGCACCUCUUGGACCUCGGCAUCCACUCGGGCCACACUUGAGGAGCCCUUCAGCCCACUGCUGCACUGUGGGAGCCCCUGUCUGGGCUGGGUGAGGCCGGACCCGGCUCCCUCUGCUUGCGGGGAGGUGUGGAGGGAGAGGUGCGGGCGGGAACCCAGGCUGCACGCGGUGCUCGCGGGCCAGUGCGAGCUCCGGGUGGGUGUGGGCUCGGCAGGCCCCGUACUUGCGCAGCUGGCCCCAGGCAGUGAGGGGCUUAGCACCCGGUCUAGCAGCUGCAGAGGGUGCGCCAGGCUACCCCAGCACUGCUGGCCCGCCGGCGCCGCACUUGAAUUCUCGCUGGGCCCCAGCCACCUCCCCAUGGGGAAGGGCUCGGGACCUGCAGCCCACCAUGCCCAAGCCCCCCUGUGGUAGGAUCCCACAUGGCCUGAGCCUCCCCGGCGGGCGCUGCCCCCUGCUCCACAGCGCCCAGUCCCAUCAACCACCCAAGGGCUGAGGAUCGCGGGCGCGCAGCACGGGACUGGCGGGCAGCUCUGCCCGCGGCCCUAGAACGGGAUCCACUAGGCGAAGCCAGCUGGACUCCUGAGUCGGGUGGGGUCUUGGAGAACUUUUAUGUCUAGCUGGAGGAUUGUAUAUGCAUCAAUCAGCACUCUGUGUCUAGCUUGGGGUUUGUGGAUGCACCAAUCAGCACUCUGUAUCUAGCUAAUCUGGUGGGGACUUGGAGAACUUUUAUGUCUAGCUAGAGGAUUGUAAAUGCACCAAUCAGCACUCUGUGUCUAGCUAAAGGUUUGUAAACGCACCAAUCAGUACUCUGUGUCUACCUAAUCUAGUAUGGACUUGGAGAACUUUUAAGUCUAGCUAGAGGAUUAUAAAUGCACCAAUCAGCACUCUGUGUCUAGCUAAAGGUUUCUAAAUGCACCAAUCAGUGCUCUGUGUCUAGCUAAUCUAGUGAGGACUUGGAGAACUUUAAUGUCUAGCUAGAGGAUUAUAAAUGCACCAAUCAGCACUCUGUGUCUAGCUAAAGGUUUGUAAAUGCACCAAUCAGUGCUCUAUGUCUAGCUAAUCUAGUGGGGACUUGGAGAACUUUUUUUUUUUUUUUUUUUUGAGACGGAGUCUCACUCUGUCACCC